Molecule: long non-coding RNA, 80 nt
Organism: Amblyraja radiata (thorny skate)
Lineage: Eukaryota; Metazoa; Chordata; Chondrichthyes; Rajiformes; Rajidae
Exons: 3
Source: RefSeq, a predicted model, not a curated record
CUUGUUUACAAUGAAGAUAGACACAAAAUGCUGGAGUAACUCAGCGGGUCAGGCAGCAUCAACGGAGAAAAGGAAUCCAG